GAGAUAUACUGGAUCACUAUAUUUUUUAAUUAGUGAUGGAUAGACAGUUUCAACAAUGGAUUUCAUGCUAUUUUCAUCAAAUUUCAAAGUGAAAUCUGAUGGAAGUUUGAUCAAUUCCUUGUUGAGAUUAUCAUAGAAUGAACCGUCAUCAAUUUGCAAUAGCCACGUGUCAAACAAAGAUAAGUUCUGAGCUUUUGACUCUGAAAUGUUGGUCCUGCAAAGUCUCAUAUUUUGUUUCAGUUCAAAUAUCUCAAAAAAUGGCCAUAGAUAAGAAGAAUUCAGAGAAGCAUGAACAAUAUCUGCUCUUCUCCCUUAAGGGACAACUGGGAGUAUUUAUCGAAUGUCACCCCC
RNAcentral lists this long non-coding RNA (351 nucleotides) under Elaeis guineensis (African oil palm). Its description in RNAcentral is "long non-coding RNA (EGUI_LNC028849)". The record is from RNAcentral. Lineage: Eukaryota; Viridiplantae; Streptophyta; Magnoliopsida; Arecales; Arecaceae.